AGUCGAGCGAUGGAUUAGAGCUUGCUCUUAUGAAGUUAGCGGCGGACGGGUGAGUAACACGUGGGUAACCUGCCCAUAAGACUGGGAUAACUCCGGGAAACCGGGGCUAAUACCGGAUAACAUUUUGAACCGCAUGGUUCGAAAUUGAAAGGCGGCUUCGGCUGUCACUUAUGGAUGGACCCGCGUCGCAUUAGCUAGUUGGUGAGGUAACGGCUCACCAAGGCAACGAUGCGAUAGCCGACCUGAGAGGGUGAUCGGCCACACUGGGACUGAGACACGGCCCAAACUCCUACGGGAGGCAGCAGUAGGGAAUCUUCCGCAAUGGACGAAAGUCUGACGGAGCAACGCCGCGUGAGAUGAUGAAGGCUUUCGGGUCGUAAAACUCUGUUGUUAGGGAAGAACAAGUGCUAGUUGAAUAAGCUGGCACCUUGACGGUACCUAACCAGAAAGCCACGGCUAACUACGUGCCAGCAGCCGCGGUAAUACGUAGGUGGCAAGCGUUAUCCGGAAUUAUUGGGCGUAAAGCGCGCGCAGGUGGUUUCUUAAGUCUGAUGUGAAAGCCCACGGCUCAACCGUGGAGGGUCAUUGGAAACUGGGAGACUUGAGUGCAGAAGAGGAAAGUGGAAUUCCAUGUGUAGCGGUGAAAUGCGUAGAGAUAUGGAGGAACACCAGUGGCGAAGGCGACUUUCUGGUCUGUAACUGACACUGAGGCGCGAAAGCGUGGGGAGCAAACAGGAUUAGAUACCCUGGUAGUCCACGCCGUAAACGAUGAGUGCUAAGUGUUAGAGGGUUUCCGCCCUUUAAUGCUGAAGUUAACGCAUUAAGCACUCCGCCUGGGGAGUACGGCCGCCAGGCUUAAACUCAAAGGAAUUGACGGGG
This 879-nucleotide ribosomal RNA is filed under the name Bacillus sp. DWH.oil.5. RNAcentral describes it as "bacterial SSU rRNA". It matches the Rfam family "Bacterial small subunit ribosomal RNA", at positions 60 to 918 of the family's 1533-position model. The record is from RNAcentral. Lineage: Bacteria; Bacillati; Bacillota; Bacilli; Caryophanales; Bacillaceae.